Molecule: ribosomal RNA, 277 nt
Filed under: uncultured bacterium
Lineage: Bacteria
Description: partial 16S ribosomal RNA
Rfam family: Bacterial small subunit ribosomal RNA
Source: RNAcentral
GACGAACGCUUGCGGCGUGCCUAAGAAAUGCAAGUCGAGCGGGGGAGCAAUCCCCAGCGGCGAACGGUCGCGUAACACGUAAGCAACCUGCCCGAAAGACCGGGACAACAGUUCGAAAGGACUGCUAAUACCGGAUGUGGUCGCGAGGAGACAUCUCUUUGCGAGUAAAGCGAGCAAUCGACUUUCGGAGGGGCUUGCGGCCUAUCAGCUAGAUGGCGGGGUAACGGCCCACCAUGGCGACGACGGGUAGCUGGUCUGAGAGGAUGGUCAGCCGGAC